Molecule: long non-coding RNA, 886 nt
Filed under: Lynx pardinus (Iberian lynx)
Lineage: Eukaryota; Metazoa; Chordata; Mammalia; Carnivora; Felidae
Source: RNAcentral
GGGCAGCCGAGGACUCAGCGGCCAGCUGUGUGGCCCAUAGCGCCCUCCAAGAGCCCUCACCUCGCAGGCCUUCCUUCCUUCCGCGCCCCGAGGACCGGAUAGGAAGGAGCGGCCCAAGUGGAAGGAAGGAAGCGUUUCUCCUCCUUCCUGGAAGCGGUGCUGGUGGUGAGCGCACAUCGCUGACCAGCCCCCUCCUCUGCCUGACGCCCCUGCCCCCCCAAGUGCAGGUGGAGCCCCAGCAGGUGGGUGGACGGCCCCUCGCGGCUGCACCUGGUUGGCCCCAUCGCGCCUUGUGGAUCCCAGAGGGCGGGGAUGCCCUGUUCUGUCCCAGCUACCACCUGGCCCCAAGGCUCGCUAAGGAGUUGGUAAGUGAGUCAGGGAAGGAAAACCCCGGGUCCCGAAGAGGAAACGCCAGAGGCUGGGAAGAGAGACUUGCGACACGGAAACGGAGCUCCCCCGAGGCAGUUACAAAAUAGCAGGGAGGAAACCAGGGGGGGCUGGACAGGCACCUCACGCAGAGGAAGCCCGAAGGGCACAGACCUCGUGAAGACGAGCCCAGCCCCGUCGAGACCAGGGAGGGGACAGCCCCCAGGCGGGCAAAGAGACCGUGGGGACCACACAGGGAAGCCACGGGGACCUGCACAACCGGGUGCAAACGGGUGACGGUUUGGGGGAUGGUGUGACGCUGUGUCCCCCGGAGGGCGGGGACCCUUGACCGGGCGUCUUUGCUCCCAGCUUGACCCUGCAGAGAUCGGGGUGCGUGUGUGGCAAAACGGUCCUCGUGGCCACCUCGUUCCUCACAGCUGGAAGCGGAAACGACCCUCACGGCCCCCAGGGAACGGAGACGCGGGCUGGCAGAAGAACGGGGUGCAGAGGAGCCAGGACC